This 253-nucleotide unclassified non-coding RNA is filed under the name uncultured Pirellulaceae bacterium. RNAcentral's name for it is "contains 16S-23S intergenic spacer region". It matches the Rfam family "Bacterial small subunit ribosomal RNA", at positions 524 to 776 of the family's 1533-position model. Lineage: Bacteria; Pseudomonadati; Planctomycetota; Planctomycetia; Pirellulales; Pirellulaceae. The record is from RNAcentral.
UACGAACUGUGCGAACGUUAUUCGGAAUCACUGGGCUUAAAGGGUGCGUAGGCGGCGAUGAAGGUCAGAUGUGAAAUCCCACGGCUCAACCGUGGAACUGCGUUUGAAACCGCAUCGCUUGAGGAAGUCAGAGGUAAGCGGAACUGAUGGUGAAGCGGUGAAAUGCGUUGAUAUUAUCAGGAACACCGGUGGCGAAAGCGGCUUACUGGGACUUUUCUGACGCUGAGGCACGAAAGCUAGGGGAGCGAACGGG